AGUUAAAUAGCUUAAUUAAAGCAUGUAUUUUGAAAAUAUAAGAUAGGAAAUUCAUAAUUCCAUUAACUU
This 69-nucleotide transfer RNA is filed under the name Neocentrocnemis stali. RNAcentral's name for it is "tRNA-Ser". It matches the Rfam family "tRNA". Rfam says of the family: Transfer RNA (tRNA) molecules are approximately 80 nucleotides in length. The record is from RNAcentral. Lineage: Eukaryota; Metazoa; Arthropoda; Insecta; Hemiptera; Reduviidae.